Small nuclear RNA from Nannospalax galili (Upper Galilee mountains blind mole rat), 107 nucleotides. NCBI's taxonomy places the organism in Eukaryota, Metazoa, Chordata, Mammalia, Rodentia, Spalacidae. The record is from Ensembl.
GUUCUCACUUUAGCAGCACAUAUACUAAAAUGGGGAUGAUACAGAGAAGAUUAGCAUGGCCCCUGCACAAGGAUGACAUGCAAAUUCGAGACAUGGUCCAUAUUUUU